CCUACGGGAGGCAGCAGUGGGGAAUUUUGGACAAUGGGCGAAAGCCUGAUCCAGCAAUGCCGCGUGUGGGAAGAAGGCCUUCGGGUUGUAAACCACUUUUGUACGGAACGAAAAGGUCUGCUUUAAUAAAGCGGGCUCAUGACGGUACCGUAAGAAUAAGCACCGGCUAACUACGUGCCAGCAGCCGCGGUAAUACGUAGGGUGCGAGCGUUAAUCGGAAUUACUGGGCGUAAAGCGUGCGCAGGCGGUUAUAUAAGACAGUUGUGAAAUCCCCGGGCUCAACCUGGGAAUUGCAUCUGUGACUGUAUAGCUAGAGUACGGUAGAGGGGGGUAGAGUACGUCCGUGU
This 347-nucleotide ribosomal RNA is filed under the name uncultured bacterium. RNAcentral's name for it is "bacterial SSU rRNA". It matches the Rfam family "Bacterial small subunit ribosomal RNA", at positions 338 to 676 of the family's 1533-position model. The record is from RNAcentral.